RNAcentral lists this ribosomal RNA (227 nucleotides) under uncultured beta proteobacterium. RNAcentral describes it as "partial 16S ribosomal RNA". It matches the Rfam family "Bacterial small subunit ribosomal RNA", at positions 980 to 1211 of the family's 1533-position model. The record is from RNAcentral. Lineage: Bacteria; Pseudomonadati; Pseudomonadota; Betaproteobacteria.
CUUGACAUGUCUAGAAUUUUGCAGAGAUGUGAAAGUGCUCGAAAGAGAACUAGAACACAGGUGCUGCAUGGCCGUCGUCAGCUCGUGUCGUGAGAUGUUGGGUUAAGUCCCGCAACGAGCGCAACCCUUGUCAUUAGUUGCUACGAAAGGGCACUCUAAUGAGACUGCCGGUGACAAACCGGAGGAAGGUGGGGAUGACGUCAGGUCCUCAUGGCCCUUAUGGGUAG